This 219-nucleotide unclassified non-coding RNA is filed under the name plant metagenome. Its description in RNAcentral is "partial contains small subunit ribosomal RNA, internal transcribed spacer 1, and 5.8S ribosomal RNA". The stretch from base 1 to 54 matches the Rfam family "Eukaryotic small subunit ribosomal RNA", at positions 1778 to 1831 of the family's 1831-position model. The record is from RNAcentral.
GGAAGUAAAAGUCGUAAUAAGGUCUCCGUUGGUGAACCAGCGGAGGGAUCAUUACCGAGUGCAAACUCAUAACCCUUUGUGAACCUAUAUCUGUUGCUUCGGCGGCUCGCUCUCGGGCGAGCCCGCCGGUAAUAUCAGUAUCUCUGUUUGAACCCGACCAUACUUCUGAGUGUUCUUAGCGAACAGUUAAAACUUUUAACAACGGAUCUCUUGGCUCUA